RNAcentral lists this ribosomal RNA (350 nucleotides) under Anaxius sp. MEL175. RNAcentral describes it as "partial 12S ribosomal RNA". The record is from RNAcentral. Lineage: Eukaryota; Metazoa; Arthropoda; Insecta; Coleoptera; Tenebrionidae.
UUAUUGUGAAUGUAAAUUGAGUUUCCGGAUUAUUAAGAGUUAAGGUCUUCAAAGUUAAAAAAUUUGGCGGUAUUUUAGUCUAUUCAGAGGAGCCUGUCUUUUAAUUGAUAUUCCACGAUGAUUUUUACCUUAAUUUUAAAUUUGUAUAUCGUUGUUUAUAAGAAUUUUAGGAGAAUUUAAAUUCUUGGAAUUUUAAAUAUGAGAAUAAUUCAGAUCAAGGUGUAGUUUAUAUUAAGGAUAGGAUGGGCUACAUUAUUAUUAAAUGUGGUUUUUAUAUUUAAAAUAUAGGAUAAAAUGGAUUUGAUAGUAAAAUCUUUAUCUUUGGGGUUUGAUUUAGCUCUAAAAUAUGU